This 2489-nucleotide small RNA is filed under the name Pongo abelii (Sumatran orangutan). RNAcentral's name for it is "retained intron". Lineage: Eukaryota; Metazoa; Chordata; Mammalia; Primates; Hominidae. The record is from RNAcentral.
UGUUGAGGAGCAUGGCCAUGGACUACUCAUGUUUUCUAGGGAUGAACAAGGUUAAGAUUUUCAUUCCCACCCAUAGCACUAUACCUCUGGAGUCCAAGGGGCAGGCACUCUUGCCACUUGCCCAGUCCCGUUACCUAAGUGUCAUAAGCACUCAUAAGAGGACAGCUUGUUCUGGGAGUUGGCUACUAGCCACUGGCUUCGUCUUUCUGCUGGCAAGAAGUAGCGGCUAUGGAAUGACCAUCCCAGCAGCGAGUUGGCCUCUCCGUGGGGCGCUUUGCUGAGUAAGUGACCCUUAAGGGCUGCUACUCUUGACUAAACUCUGCUAGCUUGUGUAGGAGGAGGCAGUACUAACAGCCUCAAAAGAAUGAGAACAAGCUCCAGGCAGGAAACCGGAAGCCACUGGAGGAGAGCAUGUACGCUGCUCGUAGGAAAGUUGAAUCUGGCUGAAGGUCUGAUGUAGUGAUCAGGAGUGUGGGUCCAGAAUUGCCCAAUAUUUGGAGUUUUCAAGAGAAGCCAGAAAUCUGUUGUGUAUUUUUGUGAAAUCUCCAGACAUUUCAGGAUGAAAAGUGUUUUAAAAGUUUCCAUCUUAAAGACAACUGCUGCCCAGGUCCUGCUUUAGGGCCCACUGUUGUAGAGCCACUAGAAGUCCAAACCUAAAUAAACAUCUUCAGGUCCCUUCUCCCCAGCCCCCAUUUUUCAGAGACUGAGGCCCACAGAACUGAAGUAAAAUGUCUUAAGUCCCCAGCUAGACCAGAACCCUGGUCUCUAAAUUCCUAGUCUGUUUGGCCAACUUAUCUAUUUUUAGACUCUACCUUUCCAGAUUUUUCUUUCUGCAAAGGCUGCAAGUUUUUUUCCACUUGGUUUAGCUGUUUGCUGAGCCUCCCUGCCCCCCUCCCCCUGCACCCCCGUCCCUGAGGUGUCUGCUGCUCCAGGGUGGCCAUGUCCCAUUGUGCAGGUGCACCUCGCCUCCCCUGACCUCACCCAGUCCCGCUUCACUUGGCUCACUCCCGGCAGUCUCAUCUCACUCCAGGCAUCCCUUGCUGGCCUCUUCUCUUACCUGCCAUCCUCCUUAAACUCGCCUCAAUGUCUUCUGACCCCAUGUGAUCAGUGGUAUCUCAAGUGUUAAUCACAAAAGGUUAUAAAUGUUUUAAGGAAACUUCAUAAAAGUGUGUGAAUAUAGAGUGCAGAGGACUCGAGGAGGGAGGCGGGGGAAGGGAGCAGGGUCGUGAUAUAGAAUCUGGCCCUGAAACCCAGGCACUCCCCUUCCCUUGUGAGAGCCACAGGGGAACGUGUUGUCUCUUUGUUCGUAGGCCUCUUGACCCUCCCUACUGCCCAAGACCUUAGCCAGUGCUGGGCUUGCAUAAGGUUACAAAGGAAUUUCUUGGGUAUUUAUUUAUUUUAUAUUUAUUAUUUUUUUGUUGAGAUGGAGUUUCGCUCUUUGGCCCAGGCUGAAGUAAAGUGGCACAAUCUCGGCUCACUGCAACUUCUGCCCCCCGGGUUCAAGCGAUUCUCAUGCCUCAGCCUCCUGAGUAGCUGGGAUUAUAGGUGCCCACCACCACGCCUAGCUAAUUUUUUGUAUUUUUAGUAGAGACGGGGUUUCACCAUGCUGGCCAGGCUGGUCUCGAACUCCUGAUCUCAGGUGAUCCACCCACCUUGGCCAAAUCCUGACUCCCAAGGUGUUAGGAUUACAGGCUUGAGCCACCGCGCCUGGCCUUUCUUGGAUAUUUAUUAACCAUCAGACUUUUAAAAAAUAAUCCCAGGGAAGAUACAUUUCUGCCCUCAGAGACCUUUACUAUACCGUUGCCAAACCCAGUUUCCCACUUGCUCCUACGGAGUUCCCAGCUCCCACACAAAGCCCUAUGUGCACUGGUCAGAAGACCCUGUCGUGUUGUCCCCAGAGGGCGUGGCGCCAGUCACUUGAGUUUACUGUAGACCCCGCAGCCACCAGCCCUGAUGAGGGACUACUGAGUCAGAGGAGUUAGAACAGGAGGGCCUUUGAAUAAUCACUGUAAUCCCUCUCAACUUAGAGCGGACUGAGAAAUUGCCCAUGGGCUCCAUAAAAAAUGUGGUCAGUGAACCUAUCGAAGGACAUGAAGACUACCACAUGAUGGCGUUUCAGUUGGGCCCCACGGAAGCCUCUUACUACUGGGUGUACUGGGUUCCAACUCAAUAUGUGGAUGCAAUCAAAGACACUGUGCUGGGGAAAUGGCAGUAUUUUUGAAAGCACUUUCACCUCUGGCCCAGGAGACUGACCCAAAGUGAAGGACAUUGCUGGGAGAGGCCUGCAGCAUCCCUGGAUUUCAGAGUUCUGGAACUUUGUUCAUAAAAAAUCUAUAUUCAAUCUGAGGUGAUGUGGUGACUGAAGCCAGAGGUGAUGUACUUUCCCCAUUAGCUUAAUUUUAACUUAAAAUUACCAGUUCCCUUUCUUGCAGUCAGCUUCAUACCAUUUUUAAAGUCAAUACGAUGGAAAUCAAUAAAUCUGAAUUCCG